GGUUGGAGACUUGAAUGUGCACUUGAGGAGUUGGUGAGCUUGGAUUAAAGGCUUCUUGAAUGCUUUGAGUGAGCUUUUGCUUAGGGCUGAAAAAUUUGCUUGAAAUUUCUUUUUCAAAAUCUCUCUUCUUAAUGAUUCCCACCUAUUUGUCCCUUUUAUAGCUUCAAAAAAUAGUGAAAAAUAUUCUGGGCUGAAAUAGAGCCAUUAGACCACAUUAAAUGAGCAUU
RNAcentral lists this long non-coding RNA (227 nucleotides) under Elaeis guineensis (African oil palm). RNAcentral's name for it is "long non-coding RNA (EGUI_LNC024822)". Lineage: Eukaryota; Viridiplantae; Streptophyta; Magnoliopsida; Arecales; Arecaceae. The record is from RNAcentral.